Molecule: ribosomal RNA, 251 nt
Filed under: uncultured bacterium
Lineage: Bacteria
Description: partial 16S ribosomal RNA
Rfam family: Bacterial small subunit ribosomal RNA
Source: RNAcentral
GACGAAGGAUGCAGCGUUAUCCGGAUUCAUUGGGUUUAAAGGGAGCGUAGGUGGCCAAAUAAGUCAGUGGUGAAAUCUCUGGGCUUAACCCAGAAAUUGCCAUUGAUACUGUAUGGCUUGAGUGUAGUUGCCGUUGGCGGAAUAUGACAUGUAGUGGUGAAAUACAUAGAGAUGUCAUAGAACACCGAUUGCGAAGCAGCUGACGAAACUAUAACUGACACUGAGGCUCGAAAGUGCGGGGAUCAAACAGG